UCCGCGGUAGCUCAGUGGUAGAGCAGGUGACUGUUAAUCACUUGGUCGCAGGUUCGAAUCCUGCCCGCGGAGCCA
This 75-nucleotide transfer RNA is filed under the name Candidatus Portnoybacteria bacterium CG10_big_fil_rev_8_21_14_0_10_44_7. Its description in RNAcentral is "tRNA-Asn". It matches the Rfam family "tRNA". From Rfam's summary of the family: Transfer RNA (tRNA) molecules are approximately 80 nucleotides in length. Their secondary structure includes four short double-helical elements and three loops (D, anti-codon, and T loops). The record is from RNAcentral. Lineage: Bacteria; Candidatus Portnoyibacteriota.